AAUGGGAUAGCUGGGUCAAAUGGUGGUUCCAUUUCAAGUUUUCUGAGGAAUCUCCAUACUGCUUUCCAGAGUGGUUGCACCGAUUUACAAUCCCACCAGCAAU
Molecule: microRNA precursor, 103 nt
Filed under: Marmota monax (woodchuck)
Lineage: Eukaryota; Metazoa; Chordata; Mammalia; Rodentia; Sciuridae
Source: RNAcentral